AAGGCCUCAGUACAGCCUCGGUCUGGCUUGGAAACUGCUCCGGCAUUUUGAGUCUCUGUGUUUGUGUAUUCUUCUUUGGAUAUUAUUGGUGCAAUUGUUGGACAAAAUGACUUGCAGUGGUAUUAAUUGCACUAAUAGAGCGUCCAAGGAGUCUCCACUUCAUUUUUUUCGGGAAGGACCUGAUUGGUGUCCAGAACCUGUUGAAGAAGCACCAGGCUCUGCAGGCUGAGAUCACAGGUCAUGAACCUCGCAUCAAGGCUGUCACCCAGAAAGGAGAGACCAUGGUGGAGGAAGGUCACUUCGCUGGUGAGGAGGUGAAGACUAAGCUGUCAGAGCUUCAUGGACGUUGGGACACGCUAAAGGCCAAGGCGUCCCAGAGGAGGCAGGACCUGGAGGACUCUCUGCAGGCCCAGCAGUACUUUGCGGAUGCUAAUGAGGCCGAGUCCUGGAUGAGGGAGAAGGAGCCCAUCGUUGGAAGUCCAGACUAAGGGAAAGACGAGGACUUGGCCGAGGCUCUCCUGAAGAAGCACGAGGCCCUGAUGUCGGACCUGUCGGCUUAUGGCAGCAGCAUCCAGGCCCUGAAGGAGCAGGCCCAGUCCUGCAGGCAACAAGAUAAUCAGCAGGUGCUUUUGUCCUGCAGGACCUGAAGGCCAACGAGUCCCGCCUGAGGGACAUCAACAAGGUGGCAUCUGAACUGGAGUCAGAAGGUCUGAUGGCUGAGGAGGCUCCUAUGGUUCAGGCUCAGCAACAAGAACAUCUGGGUUCUGCUCCUGGAAAGGACGAAGCCGACUCUUAACACGGCGUCACCCUGGAAGACCGUACGGUUGGGCGUUCAGACGACGGCUAACUUUAAUUCCAUCAAGGUAAGAGGAAGCUCUUCCCUUCCUGUCUGAGCGAUCCGUCUCCAGGUUUCCUCGUCCGGCGUCCAGCCCGCUGGCGUCCACCUUCAUCUCACCUUCAUCUCAUCUCACUUCAUUUAUAGUGCAAUACUUUCACAUUAUCAUUUUCCCACACUUCUGUAUACCUGUAUUUUGUUGUUUUUCAAUAAAGAAUGACAAAUUA
Nothobranchius furzeri (turquoise killifish) is the source of this 1062-nucleotide non-coding RNA. Lineage: Eukaryota; Metazoa; Chordata; Actinopteri; Cyprinodontiformes; Nothobranchiidae. The record is from RefSeq and is a predicted model, not a curated record.